CAGUAGGGAAUCUUCCGCAAUGGACGAAAGUUCUGACGGAGCAACGCCGCGUGAGUGAUGAAGGUUUUCGGAUUCGUAAAACUCUGUUGUUAGGGAAGAACAAGUACCGUUCGAAUAGGGCGGUACCUUGACGGUACCUAACCAGAAAGCCACGGCUAACUACGUGCCAGCAGCCGCGGUAAUACGUAGGUGGCAAGCGUUGUCCGGAAUUAUUGGGCGUAAAGCGCGCGCAGGCGGUUUCUUAAGUUCUGAUGUGAAAGCCCCCGGCUUCAACCGGGGAGGGUCAUUGGAAACUGGGGAACUUGAGUGCAGAAGAGGAGAGUGGAAUUCCACGUGUAGCGGUGAAAUGCGUAGAGAUGUGGAGGAACACCAGUGGCGAAGGCGACUCUCUGUCNUAACUGACGCUGAGGCGCG
Molecule: ribosomal RNA, 414 nt
Filed under: Bacillus sp. 9C2
Lineage: Bacteria; Bacillati; Bacillota; Bacilli; Caryophanales; Bacillaceae
Description: bacterial SSU rRNA
Rfam family: Bacterial small subunit ribosomal RNA
Source: RNAcentral